UACGGAGGGUGCAAGCGUUAUCCGGAUUUACUGGGUUUAAAGGGUGCGCAGGCUGUGUAAUAAGUCAGUGGUGAAAGCUUCCAGCUCAACUGGAAAACUGCCAUUGAUACUGUUACACUUGAAUUUGGGAGAGGUAGGCGGAAUACAUCAUGUAGCGGUGAAAUGCUUAGAUAUGAUGUAGAACACCGAUUGCGAAGGCA
RNAcentral lists this ribosomal RNA (200 nucleotides) under uncultured bacterium. RNAcentral's name for it is "partial 16S ribosomal RNA". It matches the Rfam family "Bacterial small subunit ribosomal RNA", at positions 524 to 723 of the family's 1533-position model. The record is from RNAcentral.